This 76-nucleotide ribosomal RNA is filed under the name Trichoderma longibrachiatum. Its description in RNAcentral is "partial 28S ribosomal RNA". The record is from RNAcentral. Lineage: Eukaryota; Fungi; Ascomycota; Sordariomycetes; Hypocreales; Hypocreaceae.
AACACCCCAAACUUUAAAUGUUACCUCGGAUCAGGUAGGAAUACCCCGCUGAACUUAAGCUAUCAAUAGCCGGAGG